This 492-nucleotide unclassified non-coding RNA is filed under the name uncultured fungus. Its description in RNAcentral is "sequence contains 18S rRNA gene, ITS1, 5.8S rRNA gene, ITS2, 28S rRNA gene". Lineage: Eukaryota; Fungi. The record is from RNAcentral.
AGCUCGCCAACAUUCAAUCGCCGACCGACGUGCACAUCGGCGAUCCGUUCGAGAUUUCCGCGUAUGUGCAGGGGCGGGGAAUCGCGGGGCAAGCAGUGUCGGUGGAGUUGCUGGUGCGGCCGGCGGAGGAGACGGAAGCGGAGCCGACGCUGGUGGAAUCGCGCGAGCUGACGGUGGCGGAAGACGGAGUGCCGGUCGAAGUGAAGUUUCCGCAGAACGCGUCGGUGGCGGGUCGGUACGACUAUUCGCUGCGGGUGAAGUCGGGACGCGUGCUGCACGAGCUCAGCGUCGACGACAACGAAGCGCACAAGACGAUUCAAGUCGUGGAUCGCGAGACGCGGGUGCUGCUUCUGGCGGGGGGCCCGACGCGCGAAUAUCAGUUCCUGCGAAACGUGCUGUUCCGGCAUUCGACGGUUUCGGUCGACGUGCUGCUGCAAACCGUUGUGCCGGAGACGAUCGGCGCGGUGAGCCAGGAGUCGAAGAACCUGCUCG